Molecule: long non-coding RNA, 1585 nt
Organism: Agrilus planipennis (emerald ash borer)
Lineage: Eukaryota; Metazoa; Arthropoda; Insecta; Coleoptera; Buprestidae
Exons: 3
Source: RefSeq, a predicted model, not a curated record
UGCAUUACGUCAUCUGAGUUCGACCGAAGAAGAACGAAACGGCCUGAGGGUACCGAGCUUUUUACAGCUUUUCAGUUGUGUUAGAGCGGUGUGACAGAGUGCUGGGUUUUACAUGUGGAUCACAGCAACCGAAAAUAGUACGCAGCUUAAAAAGAAGAAACUGAAACGGAACUAUUUUGGUAUCCGAAAAUGACAGCCUCAGAACUCACUAAGGAAAUGGUUGGAAUUGGAGAAAUAUUUUGCAAUUUGGACAGUUUUGGAAAAAGAUAAGUGAAAUUUUUUAUUCUUUUGUGUUUCCAUACGGCUUGCUUUUCAUAAAACUAGGAAUUUUUCUUAAUUAAGCAAGAGUCAGUCGUCAUUGAAAAAUUUUCACUUAGGGUAAGAUAUAUGUACCUUUUUCUUCAUUAUUUUUUAAAACUAUCGAAAAAAGAGUAUCAACACAAAAUUCCAACAAUAAGGUUACUUUUUAAAUUUAACAAUUUAAGCGUUCAUAAAUGUAUUUAACAUUUUUAGAAGCAAAAAAUUUUAAAAGCAUACAAAACAGAAAAUAAUCCAAUGAUUACUGCAUACUUUAAAUAUUCAAUUGGAAUUUUAAACUUAACAAAAUUUCAUCUAUAACUGAGAAAAGCUUUUUUUCCGAGUGUAAUUUUCUUUUCUUUCUUUUCCGAAUACUUGCUCUCUCUGCCAGACAAAAAUAUUGCUAAAGGAUCUGUUUUUAUUAAUUGUGUAAUUGAUAAAGUGUGAAUUUAUUUUUUAAUUGGUACUGGGUAAGUCUUUUUUUGAAUGGCAAUUGCGUUUUAUUGCAAUUUCAUUUUUCGGUACAAUUAAGUUAAAAUUAGACAAAAAUUAUCUCAUUAGUUGUAGGUAGUUGGUUUAAUUAUUUAUUCUGGCAUACUUAUUCGAAAUUUGGUUAUUACGGCUCACGUCUUCAGAAUUAUGUUAUGAAAUUUGAGCAGAAUUUAUCUGAUUUUUUUUGUAUUUCAUUCGAUUUCAAGAAGUAACUGUUGAACAGAAAGCUCUCGAUAAUAAAUAACACGAUUAUCUAGGUUUGACGGUCGCGGGAAGGUUAUUUUGCCCAUAUUGUGUUUAUUAGUGUAUUCGUGUGAAUACUUGUUUGCUCGACAAAGAAAUACGAAAUUUUAUUAAGAAAUUAAUCAUAGAUGUUUAGUUCUGUGCGUUCAUUUUUGUUAGACGGGUGUGGUUUUUAACUCUAGAUUAUUAUCAACUGUAUUUUGGAUUAAUAAUUUCUGAAAAAAUAUUCUAAACCAAAACUACAAUGCCUCAAGAUGUUUUCUAAGAAAAUGGUCGCAAUUUUGGAGUGUCUACUUGUUGAUAAUUUGGACAAUUUUGGUUAGUCGCAACAUAAAAAAGAUAAAAUGGCUCCACUUUUGGAGUAUCUACUUGCUCGCAAAUUGGACAAUUUUGGUUAAUCGCAGCAUAAAAAAGAUAAGUUAACACUUUUUUAUAUUUUUAUUUAAUUAUGUACAGGAUGCAUUUUCUAAUUUGAUACCACCCUUUAUCUUCAUAAAAAGCUUACGAAAUUGAUAUUUAAAGUACUAACCUCACGCUAAAAAAUUUUCCUGAA